This 6075-nucleotide long non-coding RNA is filed under the name Capsicum annuum. RNAcentral describes it as "long non-coding RNA (CANN_LNC010799)". The record is from RNAcentral. Lineage: Eukaryota; Viridiplantae; Streptophyta; Magnoliopsida; Solanales; Solanaceae.
AAGAGAAAUACUAUAGAUUUGGCAUAAUCAACCAAGUGGAGGUCAUUCAGGAAUCAACAACACUUAUAAGAAGGUUUCUUUAUUAUUUUAUUGGAAGUGGUUGAAGGAUGAUGUAACUACCUAUGCUAAGCAAUGUGAAGUUUGUCAAAGGAGAAAGUAUGAUCCCUUUCCAUACCCUGGGAUGCUGCAACCUUUAGCUAUUCCGAACGGUUCCUGGUCUAGCAUCAGCAUGGAUUUUAUUGAGGGAUUACCAAAGUCAAAAGGGAAGUCAGUGAUUUGGGUGGUGGUGGACAGAUUGACUGAAUAUGCUCAUUUUAUAGGAGUAUCACACCCUUAUUCAGCAGUUGACAUAGCCCAAUUGUUCUUGGAUAAUAUCUACAAGUUACAUGGAAUGCCAGAGAAUAUUGUAAGUGAUAGGGACCCAGUGUUUGUGAGCAAAAUCUGGCAGGAACUAUUUUCUGCCCAUGGAGUUACUUUGAGCACUUCCACAGCUUACCAUCCUCAAUCAGAUGGACAAACUGAGGUGCUAAAUAGGAGUUUAGAAGCCUACCUAAGGUGUUAUUGCACCGACUCUCCUCAAGACUGGUUUUUUUAUUUACCCCUAGCUAAAUAUUGGUACAAUACCACCCACCAUUCGGCAAUUAACACUUCCCCAUAUGAAGCACUCUAUGGGCAACCUCCUCCAAUCCAUCUCCCUUACCUACCUUGUGAAGUCACUGAUGAACAAGUCAACAAAAGUUUGUUGACUAGAGAACUUAAGACACAAUUGUUGAAGUUUCAUUUGUCCAAGGCCCAACAAAGAGUGAUUUCACUAGCUAACAACCAUAGAUCUGACAGAGUAUUUUCAGUAGGCGAUUGGGUAUAUUUGAAGGUUCAACCUUACAGGCAGGUCUCACUCUAUUUUGUCCAUUUUAAUAGGCUAACGGCUAAAUACUACGGCCCCAACCAGGUCUUACAGAAAAUUGGUCCAGUAGCUUACAAACUAGCCUUGCCCUCACAUGUGACCAUACAUCCCACUUUUCAUGUAUCCCUUCUCAAACCUUGUCACAAACUACCUGAAACAUUCAAUCGCCCUCCUGUGCUGGAAUUCUCUAGCCCGUAUUGCCCCAAUCCCAAGGCUAUCAAAGAUAGGAGAAUGAUUAAGAAGGAAAACAAAGCAAUAACGCAAGUGCUAGUGCAGUGGACUCAAUUGCCUGAAGAUCAGUUGACUUGGGAAGAUCUGCAUAGCCUGAAAACUAGGUUCCCAAACUUCUUCCUUGAGGACAAGGAAGUUCUUGAAGAAAUGGGCAAUGAUGCGAAUGGAAAUGAAGUGAGGAAUGUUGGUGUUGAAGAAGAAGAAGUACCUUGAGCUCAGUUCGUUGUAUGUAGCCGUUAAGAGUAGUUAUGUGCUAUGUUAUGUUCAUUAGGUGUCCUUAAGUUCAAGUAAUUCCAUUCUGGUCCCUUAGUUAUAAUUUGUUCUAGCACUUUUAGUCUCUAUCAAUUCUGUUAGGGAUAAGUCUUUGGACAAAAUGGUUAAGAGAGAUGCACAGUUGUUCAUGAUCAAGAUUCUUGACCCUGAAAGUCACAAUUGAGGGACUGUGGUAUCAGGGGUAGAGAUGGAUCCUGAGAUGGAGAGCCUCAUUCAAGAGUUUGAUGGACUAUUUGUUGAUCCUAAAGGAUUACCACCUCACAGAGAUCAAUUUGAUCACAAGAUUCCAUUGGCUUGCAGGAGCAACCCUAUUUAUAUGAGGCCUUAUAGGUACUCAUCCACACAGAAGGACAUCAUUGAUGAGUUAGUGUUGGAAAUGUUGGAACAAGGGAUAGUGCAGCCUAGUUCUAGCCCUUAUGCCUCCCCAGUAGUCUUAGUGGGAAAAAAAGAUGGUUCAUGGAGACUUUGUGUGGACUACAGGGCUUUGAACAAAAUCACUAUCAAAGACAAGUUUCCCAUCCUAAUUAUUGAAGAACUGCUGGAAGAAUUGGGUGGUUCUAGGGUGUACUCCAAACUGGACCUCAGGACUGGUUACCAUCAAAUUAGGAUGAACCCUACAGCUGGGGAGAAAACUGCUUUGAAGACAUAUGCAGUUCACUAUGAGUAUUUAGUGAUUCCUUUUGUCCUCACUAAUGCACCAUCAAGUUUUUAAAGCUUAAUAAACCAUGUAUUUCAGGAACAUUUAAGGAAGUUUAUUCUUGUAUUCUUUGAUGACAUACUGGUUUUUAGCAAGAACAUGAAAGAACACUUGCUCCACAUAUGAGGAUAACCUUUGAAUUGUUAAGGAAGCAUAAACUUUUUCUCAGGAAAACCAAGUGCUCUUUUGCUUGUGACAGGAUUGAAUACUUAGGGCAUUUCAUUUCAGCAGAAGUAAUAGUUACUGAUCCAAGAAAGAUUUCAGCAGUACAAAAUUGGCCUGUUCCAGUCAACAUAAAGGGUUUUUUUUUUGGGACUUGCAGGGUAUUACAGGAGAUUCAUCCAAAAUUAUGGGAUGAUAAGUAAACCCUUAACUGAAUUAUUAAAGAAGAAGGGAUUCUUGUGGACUGAAAGGGCUACUGUGGCUUUUCAGGAAUUAAAAAAAGCACUUACUGCUCCAGUAUUACCUUUGCCUAGCAGUGACCUUCAAUUUGUGGUUGAGACUGAUUCUUGUGAUAUAGGCUUAGGUGUUGUGUUGAUGCAACUAGGCCAGCCUAUAGCCUAUGUUAGCAAGGGCCUUUCUCUGAAGAACCAAGCAAUGUCUAUUUAUGAUAAAGAGUUUUUGUCUUUGGUUCUUGCUAUGACUAAAUGGUGAAUUUUUUAGUAAGGACUGAUCAGAGAGCAUUAAGGCACUUGAUUGAUCAAACAUUACACACUGGCACUCAAAUGAAGUGGAUUACCAAGAUCAUGCAAUUUGAUAUUGAUAUAGAGUACAAAAAGGGAAAGGAAAACAAAGCUGCAGAUUCAUUAUCUAGGCUUUCAAUAGGAGAGAUAGUUGCUGUACAUAUGAACCGUCUAGGGAAUGACUUAUUUCAAUCAAUCGCAGACUGUUGGAGCAGGGAUGCAGGUCUGCAAGAACUAGUCAAAUUAAUACAGGGCCAUAGGGGAGAGCAUCACCAGUACACUUUCUUCAAUAAUCAGUUAAGAAGAAAUGGAAAACUGGUAAUUGGAGAUGAUGCUGAACUAAAAAGAGAAAUACUAUAGAUUUGGCAUAAUCAACCAAGUGGAGGUCAUUCAGGAAUCAACAACACUUAUAAGAAGGUUUCUUUAUUAUUUUAUUGGAAGUGGUUGAAGGAUGAUGUAACUACCUAUGCUAAGCAAUGUGAAGUUUGUCAAAGGAGAAAGUAUGAUCCCUUUCCAUACCCUGGGAUGCUGCAACCUUUAGCUAUUCCGAACGGUUCCUGGUCUAGCAUCAGCAUGGAUUUUAUUGAGGGAUUACCAAAGUCAAAAGGGAAGUCAGUGAUUUGGGUGGUGGUGGACAGAUUGACUGAAUAUGCUCAUUUUAUAGGAGUAUCACACCCUUAUUCAGCAGUUGACAUAGCCCAAUUGUUCUUGGAUAAUAUCUACAAGUUACAUGGAAUGCCAGAGAAUAUUGUAAGUGAUAGGGACCCAGUGUUUGUGAGCAAAAUCUGGCAGGAACUAUUUUCUGCCCAUGGAGUUACUUUGAGCACUUCCACAGCUUACCAUCCUCAAUCAGAUGGACAAACUGAGGUGCUAAAUAGGAGUUUAGAAGCCUACCUAAGGUGUUAUUGCACCGACUCUCCUCAAGACUGGUUUUUCUAUUUGCCCCUAUUUGAAUAUUGGUACAACACUACCCAUCAUUCUGCAACUAACACUUCCUCAUAUGAAUCACUCUAUGGACAACCUCCUCCAAUCCAUCUCCCUUACCUACCUGGUGAAGCCACUGAUGAACAAGUCGACAAAAGUUUGUUGACUAGAGAACUUAAGACACAAUUGUUGAAGUUUCAUUUGUCCAAGGCCCAACAAAGAAUGAUUUCACUAGCUAACAACCAUAGAUCUGACAGAGUAUUUUCAGUAGGCGAUUGGGUAUAUUUGAAGGUUCAACCUUACAGGCAGGUCUUGUUAGCAUGAUGUAAAUAUUGUAUAUUAAUGUAAUCAUAUAUUAUUGUAUAUUAGUGUAAUUACAUAGAUUUGAUUUAUUAGUUAAAGAGAAUAAUAAUGACUUUAGUAAGAGCAGAUUUAGUGAGAUAGAAUAACGAAUUUAGAGAGAUAGAAAAGCUGAUCUUUAGGGAUAGGAAGGCGGAUCUUUAGGGAUGUAAUCAUUGAAUAUUUACUAUUUAAUGACAAGACUCUUAAUAUUGAGAGGUAUUCAGCAGAAAAUUGACAUGGUAUCAAAGCCUUCUCUUGGCUGUCUUGUUUCAUAGAGUUCAUUUGUGGUUUCUUUCAAAAUUUAUUUUGAAAAUUUCGGUUUUUGUUGAUUGUUCCUCGACAAUUAACACCUAGGACUUUGAUCUUGGUCAUUUUGGUUGUUCUUUUUGAGUUAGUGUUUCUAGUUUUCAUAAUUAUGAGUUCAUAUCAGUUUGAAUCAUUUAGUGUUCGUUUCACUGAAAAGAAUUUUUCGCCAUGGGAGUUUCAGUUUCAGUUAUUUGUCACCGAAAAAGAACUAUGGGGCCAUAUAGAUGAAGUCGAUCCUGCUCAUACUGAUCCCACAAAGUUAGGUGAAUGGAAGAUUAAAGAUGCUCGGAUGAUGACAUGGCUUUUAGGGUCAAUUGACCCUCUUAUUGUUUCUAAUCCCAAGCCUUACAAGACAGCUAAGGCCAUGUGGGAUUAUUUACAAAAGGUUUACAACCAAGAUAAUAGUACCCGGCGCUUUCACUUAGAGUAUUCCUAAUUACUCUCAAGGAGGUCUUUCUAUUCAGGAUUAUUAUUCUGGAUUUCAAAACUUAUGGGAUGAAUUUACAGAUAUUGUUUAUGCCAAAAUACCUUUCGAAUCUCUCUCUGUAAUUCAGCAAGUUCAUGAGCAAAGCAAGCGAGAUUAAUUUUUGAUGAAGUUACGCUCUGAGUUUGAGAGUGUUCGCUCUAAAUUGAUGAAUCAUGACCUGUCUCCCUCCCUGGAUGUUUGUUUUAGGGAAUUUCUUCACGAAGAGCAGCGUUAUGUCACACAAAAUGCUUUCAGAAGAGGAAAUAAUGUCGCUGUUGCAUUUGCUGCUCAAGGUAAAGGUAUGAGUAGGGAUAUGAAGAGAACUCAAUGCUACAAUUGCAAGAAAUGUGGCCAUAUUGCUAGAAAUUAUGGCAAGAAGUUCUGUAAUUAUUGCAAACAACAAGGACACAUUAUAGAGUGUCCCACACGCCCUCAGAAUCGUAAGGUAAAUAAUUUUCAUGCAGUAAUAAAUGGUUCCACUCUUGAGAACUCAUCUUCAGGACAAGUUCUUACUCCUGCAAUGGUACAAUAAAUGAUCGUAUCAGCCUUUUCAGCAUUGGGAUUACAAGGUAUUGAUGUUAAAUCUAAUUUUUGGAUUGUUGAUUCUAGUGCUUCCAAUCAUAUGACCAACUCAACAAGCAUGCUAAAAAAUGUUCGUAAGUAUCAAGGUUCAUCACAAAUACAGGUUGCUAAUGGUAGUAAUUUACCCAUUACCAAGGUUGGGGAUAUUGCUCCAACUUUCAAGAAUGUUUUUGUUUCACCGAAGCUCUCAACUAGUCUUAUUUCAGUUGGACAAUUGGUUGAUGAAAAUUGUGAUGUAAAUUUUUCUCGUAAUGGUUGUCUUGUGCAGGAUUAGGUGUCGGGGACGAUAAUUGCGAAGGAGCCUAAAGUUGGAAGAUUGUUUCCUAUACAAUUUUCUAUUCCUCCUGUUAUAUCUUUUGCUUGUACUUCUACGGCUAAUAAGACUGAGCUUUGGCAUAAGCGUUUAGGACAUCCAAAUUCGGUUGUGUUGUCUCAUUUAUCAAAUUCUAGUUUAUUAAGAAGUAAAAAUCAAUUUUCCCCUGCUUCAUUUGAUUGUUCUACUUGUAAAUUAGGCAAAAGUAAAACUCUUCCUUUUCCUAAUUUGGGUAGUCGUGCUACAAAGUGUUUUGAUGUUGUUCAUAGUGAUGUUUGGGGUAUUUUACCAAUUGUUUCUCAUGCUCAGUUCAAGUACUUUGUGACAUUCAUAGAUGAUUAUAUUCGAUUUACG